Molecule: long non-coding RNA, 578 nt
Filed under: Equus caballus (horse)
Lineage: Eukaryota; Metazoa; Chordata; Mammalia; Perissodactyla; Equidae
Description: lncRNA (ENSECAG00000048153.1)
Source: RNAcentral
UUUAGAUCCUAGGUCUUUAUAUCACCACUGAUUUUCUACAUAUCCAAGGAAUAGCACACAAUCUAUCAGCCUCUUGUCUUCUCCUGUGUCUGAUGGGAUCAACGAUGCUGUUGAUUUCUUAGAAACAUCAAGUGCAACACUGCAACUAACCAUGAAAAGAUUGCAAAACAGUCUAGAAGGGUUUAAGACUCAAGUUUACCUGCUGCUUUUCUUGUCUAUUGUAUUUCAGUGAAUUCCUAUCCCACAUGUUUGCAUCUGUCGCUGCCUGAGAGCGCCAGCUGCCUGGGAUGUGUAAACCAGAAAUAUAUGGCUGAUACAACUUUGCCUUGCGGUGGGCUUCAGGAACUUCUCCAUUGUCACAGAUCAAGAGAAUUAGGGUGAAGGAUGAAGUGAGCUGGAUUUUAUACUCCACAAGGAAAGAACAACAUCUGAGAGAUGGCAAUUAGCUGAAUUCUGUUUCCACUGAAGUUCUGGGAAAUGUUUGGAUUUCAUGCAGUUUGUCCAAAACCUUUUGAGACAGAGUCUCUGCAACCCUGUAUUGAAUAAUGCCUAGAGAUUUUAUGCUCUUCUAGUUCCCC